RNAcentral lists this ribosomal RNA (236 nucleotides) under uncultured bacterium. RNAcentral's name for it is "partial 16S ribosomal RNA". It matches the Rfam family "Bacterial small subunit ribosomal RNA", at positions 100 to 334 of the family's 1533-position model. The record is from RNAcentral.
CCGGCACGGGUGAGUAACACGUAUCCAACCUGCCGUCUACUCUUGGACAGCCUUCUGAAAGGAAGAUUAAUACAAGAUGGCAUCAUGAGUCCGCAUGUUCACAUGAUUAAAGGUAUUCCGGUAGACGAUGGGGAUGCGUCCCAUUGAUAGUAGGCGGGGUAACGGCCCACCUAGUCUUCGAUGGAUAGGGGUUCUGAGAGGAAGGUCCCCCACAUUGGAACUGAGACACGGUCCAA